GGAGUUCCGGGUCGUGACAUAUACAGUAAUUCAUAUACCUUUAAAAUAAAAAAUUCAUAAUGUUCAAAUAUAGUCCUUUUGAAAACAAUUCAUAAAAUCCAAUUAUGCAUUCAUAAUGGCAUCAUCUACCAUAAUAUACAUAUAUAGCUUGACCAAUGAAUCUUAGUAUUUCACCUCAAGUAUUCAUAUACAUAUAAUUAGGCCUUGACCGUCAGCGGAGUGACUCUGAUCACGAUUGCUAACAUUUAAUGUCAUGGUAAACCUAUCAAGCAAUGGAUAGGGAGGAGCACCUUGUCCUAGGAUCCAAUCACCUUUAACUCAGGAAACCUAAAACAUGAAUUUUAAAAACGUGAGUACAAACUCAGUGAGUGAACAUAGAAAGGGAACAAGCAAUGACAACGAAUAGUUUAGAAAACAUAAUGCACUUAUUUGAAAACAAUGCCAUUUAGUUCAAGUUCUUAUUAAAAUCCCUCCAUUAAACCCUUAGUUGUAAAAUCAUUUAAUAAUGAAGGAACCGUAUUCAGCAUGAAAUUAGAAAGAAGGGUAAUUUCUAGCAAUUAUCCAAGCAAGGUAGUAUAAAUAGAAUGUUUCUCGUUGCAAUAAAAUCAAUUUGUAAAUAAAUGGCAAAUUUUCAAGAUUCAUCACGUGCAUCUCACCCAACUUAUGUGCAUCCCACCACACCAUGCACAUAGCCGGACAUCCCAUCUCACCCAGCUCAUGUGCAUCCCACCACAUCGUGCAUAUAACCGGACAACAUCACCAUCCAUCUCCCUCACCACCGUCAUCACCGGCAAGUGCACACUCACCCCGCACAUGCACGGUUGCAUUUGUCACACAAUGGUACCAUUUAUGGCAUAGUAUAUAUAUAUAUAUAUAUCAACAUUAUACAAAAACAUAUGGAUUCAUCCUUUUACACAUUUCACAUUUCACAACAUCAAACAUUUCAUCAAGGGCUUGUUCCCAGGAAAUUUUAAACCAAAAAUCGAUAAAAUUCCCAAAUGAUUCAUUGAAACACAUAAACAUUUCCCCAAAACAUUUUGAAAUGCAAGUUCACUCACUUGACAAAACUAGCACCAACAAGGUCCUAAUCUAGGUAGUCUCGAAAUACCAUUAAAACCUAUAUUUAUCAAUAAACCAUAACAACCUCAAUUAAGUCAUAAAUUAAAUCUAAUAAUUCUAAUGAAUUUACAUUAGGCAAUCUACCCUCUAACCUAACAUUUAACCUAAGUUUCUAGUCUAAUUCACAAACCCAUUUGGCCAACUACUCCAAUUUAAAAUUUCAUUACUUGGAUGAGCUUGGAGGCAUGAAGAUCAACAAAAAAACCUAAUCUUUCCAAGAAAAAUAAUUUGAAGAAAAUUAGGGAAUAAAUCUGAAUAUAUAACCCUUAAUUCAAAAAUUUCAAAAGUUGGAAAUAUAUACCUUUCAACCUUGAAAAUGAAGAUUUGAAGCAAAAAAUCCAAGUGUUGUUUAAAGUGAAGUAGAAAUAGAAAAUAAAGGAAAGAAAGAGAGAUUUUUCUUUCUCUCUCCUUGGGUUUGGAAGUGCUAGAAAUUGGGUUUAGAAGUUGUAACUUUGGUGCACAAGGAGUUGGGAGAAGAAAGAAGCAAGAAGGGAAAGGAAAUGAAAAGAAAACAAGGAAAGAAAAUGAAAGAAAAUUAACUUUCCACGGGAGAUUGAGAGAAUGGCGUUGGAAGCUUCAAGAAUGAAAAAGAAACAUCUUGCCAGAG
This 1726-nucleotide long non-coding RNA is filed under the name Theobroma cacao (cacao). RNAcentral's name for it is "long non-coding RNA (TCAC_LNC005409)". The record is from RNAcentral. Lineage: Eukaryota; Viridiplantae; Streptophyta; Magnoliopsida; Malvales; Malvaceae.